RNAcentral lists this ribosomal RNA (274 nucleotides) under uncultured bacterium. RNAcentral describes it as "partial 16S ribosomal RNA". It matches the Rfam family "Bacterial small subunit ribosomal RNA", at positions 523 to 796 of the family's 1533-position model. The record is from RNAcentral.
AUACGGAGGGUGCAAGCGUUAUCCGGAAUCAUUGUGUUUAAAGGGUCCGCAGGCGGAUUAAUAAGUCAGUGGUGAAAUCCUCUCGCUCAACGAGAGAACUGCCAUUGAAACUGUUAGUCUUGAAUUCGGUCGAAGUAGGCGGAAUGUGUCAUGUAGCGGUGAAAUGCAUAGCUAUGACACAGAACACCGAUAGCGAAGGCAGCUUACUAGACCUGGAUUGACGCUCAUGGACGAAAGCGUGGGGAGCGAACAGGAUUAGAAACCCCGGUAGUCC